GAUCAUGGCUCAGGAUGAACGCUAGCUACAGGCUUAACACAUGCAAGUCGAAGGGUAGCAGGAUCUAGCAAUAGAUUGCUGACGACCGGCGCACGGGUGAGUAACACGUAUCCAACCUUCCGUUUACUCGGGGAUAGCCUUUCGAAAGAAAGAUUAAUACCCGAUAGUAUGCUUUUCCCGCAUGGGAGAAUCAUUAAAGUUUUUCGGUAAUCGAUGGGGAUGCGUUCCAUUAGGCAGUUGGUGAGGUAACGGCUCACCAAACCUUCGAUGGAUAGGGGUUCUGAGAGGAAGGUCCCCCACAUUGGAACUGAGACACGGUCCAAACUCCUACGGGAGGCAGCAGUGAGGAAUAUUGGUCAAUGGACGAGAGUCUGAACCAGCCAAGUAGCGUGAAGGAUGACUGCCCUAUGGGUUGUAAACUUCUUUUAUAUGGGAAUAAAGGAGCCUACGUGUAGGUUUUUGUAUGUACCAUACGAAUAAGGAUCGGCUAACUCCGUGCCAGCCGCAGC
Molecule: ribosomal RNA, 509 nt
Filed under: uncultured bacterium
Lineage: Bacteria
Description: bacterial SSU rRNA
Rfam family: Bacterial small subunit ribosomal RNA
Source: RNAcentral